UCUGAGAAGGGACUUGACAAUGAGAGGAAGC
Molecule: non-coding RNA, 31 nt
Filed under: Homo sapiens (human)
Lineage: Eukaryota; Metazoa; Chordata; Mammalia; Primates; Hominidae
Source: RNAcentral